GCGACCCCAGGUCAGGCGGGACUACCCGCUGAGUUUAAGCAUAUAAAUAAGCGGAGGAGAAGAAACU
This 67-nucleotide ribosomal RNA is filed under the name Arctagrostis latifolia. RNAcentral's name for it is "partial 26S ribosomal RNA". It matches the Rfam family "Eukaryotic large subunit ribosomal RNA", at positions 1 to 66 of the family's 3401-position model. RNAcentral also lists the same sequence under 2 other names. Lineage: Eukaryota; Viridiplantae; Streptophyta; Magnoliopsida; Poales; Poaceae. The record is from RNAcentral.